RNAcentral lists this ribosomal RNA (693 nucleotides) under Glycomyces mayteni. Its description in RNAcentral is "bacterial SSU rRNA". It matches the Rfam family "Bacterial small subunit ribosomal RNA", at positions 77 to 773 of the family's 1533-position model. The record is from RNAcentral. Lineage: Bacteria; Bacillati; Actinomycetota; Actinomycetes; Glycomycetales; Glycomycetaceae.
CGCUUGCGGGUACUCGAGUGGCGAACGGGUGAGUAACACGUGGGUAACCUGCCCCCAUCUCUGGGAUAACCGUUGGAAACGGCGGCUAAUACCGGAUACGACCUUCUUUCGCAUGAUUGAGGGUGGAAAGUUUUUGCGGUUGGGGAGGGGCCCGCGGCCUAUCAGCUUGUUGGUGCGGUGAUGGCGCACCAAGGCUUUGACGGGUAGCCGGCCUGAGAGGGCGGUCGGUCACAUUGGGACUGAGAUACGGCCCAGACUCCUACGGGAGGCAGCAGUGGGGAAUUUUGCACAAUGGGCGGAAGCCUGAUGCAGCGACGCCGCGUGAGGGAUGACGGCUUUCGGGUUGUAAACCUCUUUUAUCCACCACGAAGGCCAGGUAUUCGCCUGGUUGACGGUAGUGGUUGAAUAAGCGCCGGCUAACUACGUGCCAGCAGCCGCGGUAAGACGUAGGGCGCGAGCGUUGUCCGGAUUUAUUGGGCGUAAAGGGCUCGUAGGCGGCCCGCUGCGUCUGCCGUGAAAGGCCUCGGCUUAACCGGGGUUUUGCGGUGGAUACGGGCGGGCUUGAGGCAAGUAGGGGAAACUGGAAUUCCACGUGUAGCGGUGAAAUGCGCAGAUAUGUGGAGGAACACCGGUGGCGAAGGCGGGUUUCUGGGCUUGUUCUGACGCUGAGGAGCGAAAGCGUGGGGAGCGAAC